AAAGGAAUAGACGGGGACCCGCACAAGCAGCGGAGCAUGUGGUUUAAUUCGAAGCAACGCGAAGAACCUUACCAAGACUUGACAUUCAGUGACUGCCUAAGAGAUUAGGAGUUCCGCAAGGACACUGGGACAGGUGGUGCAUGGUUGUCGUCAGCUCGUGUCGUGAGAUGUUCGGUUAAGUCCGGCAACGAGCGCAACCCUUGUGAUAUGUUGGCAAUAUUAAGUUAGCAACUCAUAUCAGACUGCCGUGGAUAACACGGAGGAAGGCGGGGACGACGUCAAAUCAUCAUGCCCCUUACGUCUUGGGCUACACACGUGCUACAAUGGGCGCAACAGACUGCGACGAUACCGCAAGGUGGAGUAAAUCAGAAAAAAGCGUUCUCAGUUCGGAUUGUGGGCUGCAACUCGCCCACAUGAAGUCGGAGUUGCUAGUAAUCCCGGAUCAGCACGCCGGGGUGAAUGCGUUCCCGGGUCUUGUACACACCGCCCGU
RNAcentral lists this ribosomal RNA (491 nucleotides) under uncultured bacterium. RNAcentral describes it as "bacterial SSU rRNA". It matches the Rfam family "Bacterial small subunit ribosomal RNA", at positions 903 to 1397 of the family's 1533-position model. The record is from RNAcentral.